Long non-coding RNA from Manis javanica (Malayan pangolin), 1404 nucleotides. RefSeq lists it as uncharacterized. The record is from RefSeq and is a predicted model, not a curated record. Lineage: Eukaryota; Metazoa; Chordata; Mammalia; Pholidota; Manidae.
UUCUAGCUCUAAGUUCCCGCCUCGGGUAGCCCCUGGGCGGGGCCACAAGCGGGAACGAGCUUCCUUUCCCCACCGCCUGCCCUCGCUGGGCCCCAGGCCACCUCUGGGCGGGGCACUGCCAGCUGUGCGGCGGGGUAAACAAAGAGAGGGGUGCGGCGGGGCUAGGGCGGCGGCUCCGCAUUCCGGACCCUUGGGGAGCCCCGCGCCCGCUGAGCCAAAGAAGGCUGGACGUAUCCAGAGAGGGCACUAACCUCCUCUUCUCCCCCGGGGCUGCCGAGAACAGCUGGAGACAGCUGUGCUGUGGGGAGGAAGGGGCAGGCGGCCGGGGCCGUCCAGGAAGGCGUGUGUGGGAUUCUGGGACACACACUGAGGAGAGGAAAGCACAGACGGAGCCCCUUCAGUUUGGAAGGGCCCUCCCCUGCCCUCCUGCCCUCAGCUCCCUGAGGGCUCCCAUACAAGGGGCGGGCCACUAGAUGGGCACGGACAACUCCAUGCCCCACUCGCCUGGAGGAAAGACAAGCUGAGGACAUCGGAGUCCUGCCGAGGCCUCAUCCCUCCGUUCUCGGCUGUGAAAGAAUUCGAUCAGAAUAUGCUCCGUGACUGGUGUAGAUGCUGGAAGCCUACCCAGGUGUCAGCUUCUCACGCGAGAGACUAAGGAUUCUGGGGACUGAGCGGUAAUCCUGCACUAGGCCCCAGGUCGAGCCCUUCUAAGGGCCCCAGGCCCACUUCUCAAACGAUUUGCCCCUUCUGAAGGCCCAGUGAUUCAGGGUUCCAGGCUCAACAAGCAAAGUCUUCUUGCUCAGAAGCCUGCAGCCUCUGCCUCUCCGAGGACCAGGCUCCCCCUGAGCCCAACCCGCAGACUCUGCUCCCAGAGGCCUCCCCUUUGCUCAUCUCCUUCACACCUCCCCACCGGCCGCGCCUAAAGAAUACUGGACUCCCUUCCUUUUGUGAAUUAAAGGCUUCCAAGAGCACCCUCCCACUGCCAGAAUUGCAAGCUCUCUCCUUAGAGAAUUCCAGUCCCGUCCUUUUCUAGUGGAGAGUGUGCAGGACGGACGGGAACCCCUUCACCCUCCCCGUUGCAGUGAGACACACGAACUGACUCACAGCCACACGCACACCGUUACUGCCACCUACAGAAAUCCACGCCUCCGUCCAACGCUAACACCCAGAAAUCAGGGCCCACCCACCGUCCAGGGACACACAACCUCUUGGAACAGUAACGACGACACUCAGGCCUCACUCACGAGCAUUCGUGGGCUGUCUGAGCGCAGUGAUGUAGUGCCCGGCUCUGCCCCAUUAAUGUGCUGUUUUGUGUAGCCCCCCGCCGUCUCUGUUAACAUAGCCCUUCAGGACAGCGUACUCGUGCCCCCAUUGCCCCCCUUCCCCAUUACUCUCCCUCCUACC